RNAcentral lists this long non-coding RNA (283 nucleotides) under Elaeis guineensis (African oil palm). RNAcentral describes it as "long non-coding RNA (EGUI_LNC031857)". The record is from RNAcentral. Lineage: Eukaryota; Viridiplantae; Streptophyta; Magnoliopsida; Arecales; Arecaceae.
CCUAAGAAGGACAAGUUCAUAAUUGAAUUCGUCAAUGCCAAUUUGUAAGUCUAUAACUUUAGCUUCGAUGAAUGCAUGAGUACCAUCGAGUGGCUCUACUCCUCAAUCAAAGUCAAUCCUCACAUUUCUCGAGGUAGUAAGGAUGGGAUGGACAAUGGAGCCCAGGUCACCAAGGAUGUGCAGACUGAAGGCACUUCUGUAUUCAAAGCUAAGGCUUUUUCUUCCAGUUUUCUUUUUUUUAAAUUUGUAUAAGCCAACUUGGUAUGUAUCGAGCAAACACUAU